RNAcentral lists this ribosomal RNA (460 nucleotides) under uncultured bacterium. RNAcentral describes it as "partial 16S ribosomal RNA". It matches the Rfam family "Bacterial small subunit ribosomal RNA", at positions 338 to 795 of the family's 1533-position model. The record is from RNAcentral.
CCUACGGGUGGCAGCAGUGAGGAAUAUUGGUCAAUGGACGGGAGACUGAACCAGCCAAGCCGCGUGAGGGAGGAAUGCACUGAGUAUUGUAAACUUCUUUUGUCUGGGAAUAAAGCGUUCGACGUGUGCCCUUUUGUGUGUACCUUAUGAAUAAGCAUCGGCUAACUCCGUGCCAGCAGCCGCGGUAAUACGGAGGAUGCGAGCGUUAACCGGAAUUACUGGGCGUAAAGCGCUCGGAGGCGGUCUGUCAAGUCAAGGGUUAAAUCCCCGCGCUCAACCUCGGCACUGCCUUUGAAACUGGCAGACUGGAGUGGGUGAGAGGUAAGCGGAAUGCGAGGUGUAGCAGUGAAAUGCGUAGAUAUCGGGAGGAACACCAGUGGCGAAGGCGACAAGCCGGCACAAAACUGACGCUGAGGAACGAAAGCGUGGGUAUCGAACAGGAUUAGAUACCCCUGUAGUC